This 61-nucleotide transfer RNA is filed under the name Pseudomonas marginalis ICMP 9505. RNAcentral describes it as "tRNA-Arg". It matches the Rfam family "tRNA", at positions 7 to 64 of the family's 71-position model. Rfam says of the family: Transfer RNA (tRNA) molecules are approximately 80 nucleotides in length. Their secondary structure includes four short double-helical elements and three loops (D, anti-codon, and T loops). Lineage: Bacteria; Pseudomonadati; Pseudomonadota; Gammaproteobacteria; Pseudomonadales; Pseudomonadaceae. The record is from RNAcentral.
GUAGCUCAGCUGGAUAGAGUACUCGGCUACGAACCGAGCGGUCACAGGUUCGAAUCCUGUC